This 500-nucleotide ribosomal RNA is filed under the name uncultured bacterium. RNAcentral's name for it is "bacterial SSU rRNA". It matches the Rfam family "Bacterial small subunit ribosomal RNA", at positions 28 to 524 of the family's 1533-position model. The record is from RNAcentral.
GAUGAACGCUGGCGGCGUGCCUAACACAUGCAAGUCGAACGGAACUCAUUCAGACGGAGGCUUCGGCCAAAGUAGGGUUGAGUUUAGUGGCGAACGGGUGAGUAACGCGUGAGCAACCUGCCCUUCAGAGGGGGACAACAGCUGGAAACGGCUGCUAAUACCGCAUAUUGCACAAUGACCGCAUGGUCGAUGUGUGAAAGAUUUAUCGCUGAAGGAUGGGCUCGCGUCUGAUUAGCUAGUUGGUGGGGUAACGGCUCACCAAGGCUGCGAUCAGUAGCCGGACUGAGAGGUCGAUCGGCCACAUUGGGACUGAGAUACGGCCCAGACUCCUACGGGAGGCAGCAGUGGGGAAUAUUGGGCAAUGGGGGCAACCCUGACCCAGCAACGCCGCGUGAAGGAAGAAGGCUUUCGGGUUGUAAACUUCUUUGACCAGGGAAGAAAGAAAUGACGGUACCUGGAAAACAAGCCACGGCUAACUACGUGCCAGCCGCCGCAGUAAA